CAGCUGGAAUCUGUUUCUGUCCAGAGUGAGUACCCAGUUGGACUUGGCUCUUUACCUUACACGGAAUGGAGUGAAAACUCUUUACCAUUUUAUUUAAAAGUGAAAGCACUUGACCAUUUUAUUUAAAAGUCUUCCCCUCCUUUCUCUCCAAUAUAGGCUCAAAUCACAAUUUUGUCUCCUUUUUUAGUAAAAAACAAAACAAAACAAAAACAAAAUGGGGGCUUGACUAUUUGCUAAGACUGACAGAUUUUCCUCAUGAUUUAUUUGAUUAAAGACACAGGAAACUUUGAGGAGUCCUGCUGAUGGUUUCUUCCCAUAUUUGAAUGAAACACAAAACAAAAAGCUUCAAGCGCCAAGGAGUAGGCAGGUGGAUUCUUUACUACUGGCACCCCCUGGGAAGCCAGGAAUUCAUUGGGGGUUUUAAAUACCUGCUAAGUCACUUCAGUCGUGUCCGACUCUGUGUGACCCCAUAGAUGGCAGCCCACCAGGCUCCCCCUGUCCCCGGGAUUCUCCAGGUAAGAACACUGGAGUGGGUUGCCAUUUCCUUCUCCAUUUAAAUACCUAAUAUUCUAAUAUAAAUGGCUUUAGAAUGGGAUUGACCCCGG
Bos indicus x Bos taurus (hybrid cattle) is the source of this 605-nucleotide long non-coding RNA. Lineage: Eukaryota; Metazoa; Chordata; Mammalia; Artiodactyla; Bovidae. The record is from Ensembl.